Brassica napus (rape) is the source of this 795-nucleotide long non-coding RNA. RefSeq lists it as uncharacterized. The record is from RefSeq and is a predicted model, not a curated record. The transcript is spliced from 3 exons. Lineage: Eukaryota; Viridiplantae; Streptophyta; Magnoliopsida; Brassicales; Brassicaceae.
AAAGCUUCCCUGGAAGAUGACAAGAACAUUACCAACAGUGUGUUUCAGGCAAGGUAGGAAGCGUUUACCAAAAAACUGGAUUUGGAGCGCCUGCCUAAACUUGUGAGCGCUGGAGGUGAAGAAUGUUUGAACAAACAGAGCGAAUCUCAGGUCUUGGAUAAAGGUGUUGCUACGGCUGAAAAACAUGCAACAGAUGGUUUGCUUUGUGCCAACCAGAAAGAUAAUUCAGAUCUAAGAGACUUUGCCACUGGUUUCUUGUCCUUGUAUUGUAGUGAAGUGCGGUCUGUUGGUGGCCCACCUCCACAUCAAAAUGCAAACGAACUGAAGCGUCCAAGCAGUUCAUCACUACUUGUUCAAGAUAUGCAAUAUCCUCGCAAGAUGCGUUGUGAUUCUCAAAAUAUACGAUCACUGGAUGAACUUGCACAUCCUCUCGGUAGUAAGCCUGAAUCAGUCAGUGACAAGAAAGAUAAAUCUGUUUCAGACCCUAUGCAGAAGAUUCCAAGCAAUCAAUCUGCUGAAAUCUCAAUGGGCUUAAGGAAGUGUACUAAGGCACCUGAAUCAUCUACUCAUCUCACUGAAUGCCACACUCCUGGAUCAGUCGUCAAGACCUGUGUCGCGUGACUUGUGACACAAGAAAUAUGUAUCUCGUGACUUGUAUGUCGAGAUAAAAAUAGUUGUUGUUGUUAUGUAUCUCGUGGCUUGUUUGUCGAGAUAAAAAUAAUAGACAUAGUUGGUUGUGAUACUUGUAUCUCCUGGCAUAAUAGAAACAACAACAAUCUCACUUCUUUAUAUUCA